Molecule: non-coding RNA, 1751 nt
Organism: Nelumbo nucifera (sacred lotus)
Lineage: Eukaryota; Viridiplantae; Streptophyta; Magnoliopsida; Proteales; Nelumbonaceae
Source: RefSeq, a predicted model, not a curated record
UUAGGGAAGCGUCAAAUUCUCGCUUCCCCAACGGCUAGCAGUUUCACGAAAGGCAUGUAUGAUGUGGCGCUGAUGUGUAAUCUGAUGUGGCACAGUUGGUUUCUGAUAUGCUGCAUUGUGAAUAUCUUUUGAAGCCCUAACCACGAAUUGGGAUAAGUGGAUGUCGCAGACGAUCGGUGGAUCAGGGAGUUCUUUUCACACGGUGAUGUUGACUAGUGGACACUGCUCUGUAACCAAUUUUCCAUUGGCACCCCGCUAAUCCCUUGCAAAUCGUUGCUUCUUUUCGCCUUGCUGCUACCAUUCCCCUCCUCUGAACCAGUCUGUUGUUUCAAUGCCUCCUCAUAGUGGUCGUGAAACUAGGGUUGAGACUAGUUCAUCAUCGGAUGAGGAUGAAUAGUAGUCAACACAAUUGUUAUCCCAUUGUUAUUAGAGACAUAUGCAUCGAGCUUAACUAAGCUGCCUUGUCGCACCUCUUCUUUGAUUGGACAGAAUUAUAUGUGGCAAGAAAUACUAAACGAUCUUGAAAACCUAGAUAGGUGCUAUGAGUCAUUUAGGAUGGAACACCAUGUAUUCAAAAACUUUGUUGACCUGCUUAGGGGGAGGGGUCUUCUAAAAAACACAAGACGGACCAUAGUUGAGGAGUCUCGUGCAAUGUUCCUACUCACCAUAAGCCAAAAUGAUAGAAACUGUGCAAUGACCAAGCAAUUUCAACAUUCAACAUGGACCAUUAACACUCACAUAAAGAAGGUUGUUAGAGCAAUAUGUAAGUUAGGGAAGGAGCUCAUUACUUCACCAUCCUUCACAGAGACACCGACACACAUCAGAAGAUCAGAGAGAUACUUUCCCAUGUUUAAGGAUUGUGUGGGGGAUAUAGAUGGCACCCAUGUCUCAGCAUAUGUACCACAUGACAAGAAAAUCCCCUUUAGAGGCAAGAAGAAGGUUUGUACAUCAAAUGUCUUGGCCUUGUGUGCCUUUGACAUGAUGUUCAAAUUCAUAUACACUAGGUGAGAUGGUUCAACUCAUGAUUCUAGGAUACAUGCAGAAGCUAUUGCUAGGUCAAACAUCUGCUUCCCAGAACCUCCUCCAGGGAAAUACUAUCUUGUUGAUUCUGGCUUUGCUAAUGCACCCGGCUAUAUCACACCAUACUUUGGUCGGCUUUAUCACUUAAGUGGAUUCCAUGGGCAACGAGAUGCUAAUGAUGGAGGGAGUUUUUUUGCCGAUGUGCUCAUGUGGAAAUGGAGAAAUGACAUUGCACAUGUCCAUUGAGAGGGGAUCACAGGGGCUCUUUCAUAUGGGUAGACCAGUACAAUGGGAGAUACCAACACCCGAUAGGGAUGCCCCAAAAUGACACCGCUCUUCGUCAUUUGUGCAACCACAACCAACUAAUAGUAACAUUGCUUUGUUAGCUUGUUAUGGUUGCAAUAUCCUAUGUUUUAUAUUUUGGGCAUGGGUAUGCUUGGUUGUUCUAGUACUCAAGAUUAUGUAGUAAAAUGAUAAAAAUAUGGAACUUGUCUAGCAACGUAGACUUUUUAGAAUUUAAUUACGUACAAAAACUUAUUAGAUGUCAUAGUGAUAUAGGCUUAUAUACAAAAACCUAUCAGACUUGUUAACUAGCACUGCAUACUUGUUAGUAUGGAACACAUAAGCCUUUUGUGAUUUUAUUUUUUCAAUUUUCUUGGAUGCAGCUGAGAGAGAGAGAUGCCUUGGAGGUACACAUAUUGGUACAUUGUAUCUUUUUCUAAUUAUGCAUC